CGACAAUGACCAGGAUUGCCAGUUGGAGAUAAAAUACAGAAUGUGGUGAAGUGUAUGAAGGCACCCAUCUCCAUGCUUUGUGAUACCUUGCCGUGCUCCACCUAAUACCCAGGAAAUGGCAAUUAGCUGACCUUUAUAACUAAAAUUAAUAUGGGAUGAGAAUACACAGUACACUGUGGGACUCAUUAUUUGUCUUCCAGAUGCAGGGGGUGAGGAAAAUAUGGGAGUUACUGUUUACCUUACAGUACUCGUAUUCUGAUGGCCACAGUCCAGGCCCUGACUAAUGGUUUUGAAAUGCUGAGGACAGAAGUUAAACAGGCAUCUACAUCCCAGACCCCACUAGGGAACCUCUGAUUAGUGUGUGGAGGGUGAGAAGCAAGGGAAGCGCUGGAACUUGAAGCCCAGCCAAGAGCAUAAAACCCACAGGGCUUGUGGCUAUUGCAGGUAAUAACAAAGGGACAGUGUCCAUAGGAGGGUAAGAGAGACGGUUCAGGGAAGGGCAAGUCAAGCAGGCAGAAGGCUGAGGAGUCAGAUGGUCUGUGCUGCAGGUUUCAGCCAUGGCUUAGGGAAGGCACAGUGGCUGAGCAAUGGAUCUGCAGUGAGAGGUGCCCACAGGGGUGUCUCAGUCCCCGCUGCGCAGGACCGUGCACAGGAACGAUGGCCGGGGCAAAUGGAAGCUCUGGAGAGCCGUGAGUGCCUGUUGAGAAAGCUAAUGGCAAAACUAAGACUGCCAGUUGGACUGAAGUUCAGCUUCUCUGGGAAUAGCUCCAAGACCACCGACCACCAGGUGUGCAGAGCCCUCUACCAUCUCCAGGACAAGGUGGAGUCCCGUGGUCAUGGCUGGACUCGGACAAGGGUGCUUCAGAUGGAAAUAUUCAGAUGCAGAACCAGCAAUUCUACCUCCCUGGGAGAAGACACUGAGGAACUGCCAUCAACUUGCAUGUGUUUGCAGCGUGUCUUCCAGGAUACCCACAGCUUGAUUCACAUUCUCACUGGAAAGGGGGAACAGCUUCCCAGAGCCUGUGACAGGAUCACCUUUAUGCCGAGAAAGGUGACCUGUGACACAAGGACACUUGACAACACUACUGAAGUGAUGCACCUCAGCUGCUGCAACUGGCCUCUGUCAUCAAAUAGGAUUUUCUGCCUACUGGAUCAUUGCUAA
RNAcentral lists this long non-coding RNA (1162 nucleotides) under Parus major (Great Tit). RNAcentral describes it as "lncRNA (ENSPMJG00000010010.1)". Lineage: Eukaryota; Metazoa; Chordata; Aves; Passeriformes; Paridae. The record is from RNAcentral.